Long non-coding RNA from Cuculus canorus (common cuckoo), 665 nucleotides. RefSeq lists it as uncharacterized. The record is from RefSeq and is a predicted model, not a curated record. Lineage: Eukaryota; Metazoa; Chordata; Aves; Cuculiformes; Cuculidae. The transcript has 3 exons.
UACAGGGCUGUUGGGGUGCGUACAGGCAACGCAGGGCCGUGUUUUGAUUCUGUCCUGCGCUGGUGGUGCCCCCUGUCCCGGGGGUGGUGGCGGUGGGGCUGGUGGCCCCCGGCCCAUUAACUGCAGCCACUGUGCUGCCCUGGCCACUGCCCCCAAAUUGUCUGUGCCACACCUUAGAGACGGUGUGUGUGAACACCAUCGGAUGUGUCCCCUUGGAUUUCCAACUGGAAUUGUGAAGAUCCAGGCCCGUGUGCUGCCUCAAGUCAUAGAAUCAUAGAACCACCAGGUUGGAAAAGCCCUUUGAGAUCAUGGAGCCAACCAUACCUUGCAGCAGCACCCAGGACGUAACCAGUGUUCCCUGUGACAAACGCUGUGACUGUUGUCACAGACUGCUGCUGCGUCUGGCCCUCGCUUCCCCCCAUGGAGCACACGUAUUGAUGCUUCGUCCAGACUGAUGUGACAGUUUCAGGGGUACCAUCCACGGGCUCUUUGGCACCUUUCCGUUCUGCUGGAUUUCACCCUCAAUGUGUAUUUUCUGAUCAUCACCAUCCUUGGUCGGAUGCCAUUUAGACACCAGUCCAACUCAUCAAACAACUUGUUUUCCUGCUCAGAGCCUUGGACUCAGCACAGUUAACCUCUGAGGAACCUUGUCAUCUUCAGUUUGA